CUUCAGACAUCACCUACAGACCUCCUUAUUUCGGGGCUAAACUCCAUUCUUGACAGGGGAAUCAAACACAUUCUUCUUUGGCACCAAGCUAGGAGCAGCUGUGGAGCUGUUGGAGGAGGUUGUCCUGACAAAUCUUCAGAAAUUGACCUCAUUUGCCAGGGUAGCUCCAAAGUUUGGAAGCAGCUCACAGCUUCAAUUGGCAACAGAUGUUUGGCUCUGGCUAAAAGGAUUGAAAUCUUAACCCUGGCUUUACACAUCUCCUUGACAUGCCACAGCUCUUUGGGGCUCAGGAACAGGAGCUGUGCCAGACCAAACCAAGCCUGACAGCAGAGCUGAAAGCAAACACCCAAAGCAUUCCAGAAACACUACAAAAUGUGGCUUGGGGAAGCUUAAAUCUGAGCCUCCUCUAACCAUGACAUCAAUAUAGCAGUCAUGACCUGCUUCAUUUAGGAGCUGAUGAGGAAGAAGAUGAGGUUCAAGUGUUCCACCUGAAGCAAGCCCAAAAGAUGGCCACUUUAUGGGGACCUAAGUGCAGUGAGGUAGCUCUCAGCUACUGCUCCUGGACUAUU
This is a long non-coding RNA of Pogoniulus pusillus (Red-fronted tinkerbird), 569 nucleotides long. RefSeq lists it as uncharacterized. Lineage: Eukaryota; Metazoa; Chordata; Aves; Piciformes; Lybiidae. The transcript is spliced from 2 exons. The record is from RefSeq and is a predicted model, not a curated record.